UGCUCCUAGCCUGUCUGCUCCCCGAAGGCUGCAGCAUCAACAUCUGAUUGUGGAGCAGCACAAGUCCUCUGCUCCGCUGUUCCUCAGUCAUCAUUUUUUUGACUGUGUCCACCCUGCUCCCUCUGGAGAGGUGUCCUGUGGGUGCGUUAUGGGUGGGGAUCUUGUGUUGGUGUGGAUGGAGAUGUGUUCUGUAGGUACGGUAUGCGAGGGAGAUCUUGUGUUGGUGUGGAUGGAGAUGUGUUCUGUAGGUGUGGUAUAGGUGGGAAUCUUGUGUUGUGUGGAUGGAGAUUAGGUGGUAAUCUUGUGUUGGUGUGGAUGGAGAUGUGUUCUGUAGGUGUGGUAUAGGUGAGAAUCUUGUGUUGGUGUGGAUGGAGAUUAGGUGGGAAUCUUGUGUUGGUGUGGAUGGAGAUGUGUUCUGUAGGUGUGGUAUAGGUGGGAAUCUUUUGUUGGUGUGGAUGGAGAGGUGUUCUGUAAGUGUGGUAAGCGGUGGAGAUCUUGUGUUGAUCUGGUUAGAGAUGUGUUCUGUAGGUGUGGUAUAGGUGAGAAUCUUGUGUUGGUGUGGAUGGAGAUUAGGUGGGAAUCUUGUGUUGGUGUGGAUGGAGAUGUGUUCUGUAGGUGUGGUAUAGGUGGGAAUCUUUUGUUGGUGUGGAUGGAGAGACGUUCUGUAAGUGUGGUAAGCGGUGGAGAUCUUGUGUUGAUCUGGUUAGAGAUGUGUUCUGUAGGUGUGGUAUAGGUGAGAAUCUUGUGUUGGUGUGGAUGGAGAUUAGGUGGGAAUCUUGUGUUGGUGUGGAUGGAGAUGUGUUCUGUAGGUGUGGUAUAGGUGAGAAUCUUGUGUUGGUGUGGAUGGAGAUUAGGUGGGAAUCUUGUGUUGGUGUGGAUGGAGAUGUGUUCUGUAGGUGUGGUAUAGGUGAGAAUCUUGUGUUGGUGUGGAUGGAGAUUAGGUGGGAAUCUUGUGUUGGUGUGGAUGGAGAUGUGUUCUGUAGGUGUGGUAUAGGUGAGAAUCUUGUGUUGGUGUGGAUGGAGAUUAGGUGGGAAUCUUGUGUUGGUGUGGAUGGAGAUGUGUUCUGUAGGUGUGGUAUAGGUGAGAAUCUUGUGUUGGUGUGGAUGGAGAUUAGGUGGGAAUCUUGUGUUGGUGUGGAUGGAGAUGUGUUCUGUAGGUGUGGUAUAGGUGGGAAUCUUUUGUUGGUGUGGAUGGAGAGGUGUUCUGUAAGUGUGGUAAGCGGUGGAGAUCUUGUGUUGAUCUGGUUAGAGAUGUGUUCUGUAGGUGUGGUAUAGGUGAGAAUCUUGUGUUGGUGUGGAUGGAGAUUAGGUGGGAAUCUUGUGUUGGUGUGGAUGGAGAUGUGUUCUGUAGGUGUGGUAUAGGUGAGAAUCUUGUGUUGGUGUGGAUGGAGAUUAGGUGGGAAUCUUGUGUUGGUGUGGAUGGAGAUGUGUUCUGUAGGUGUGGUAUAGGUGAGAAUCUUGUGUUGGUGUGGAUGGAGAUGUGUUCUGUAGGCAAUUAGGCAAUUGAUUUAUGACAUUUCUGCAGUAAUUCGGAGGUUAGGUGCUAGACCUCUUGCUAUGUACUGUAGGUUCCUCUGUUGUUGUGCUGGCUCUCAGUCUUCUAGACUCCCGUUGCCCAGGCGCCACUAUAACUGGUGUCAUUGGCCUCUGUCUGGUGUUUUACGGCCAUUUCUGUUCUUAUGGCGCAGUUUGUGUUUAAUAACUGAUAUCUGCCUCCUCUGAUCCCCCAGUCAGACGGUCUCGGAGCCAGACCCGUGAAGCAGGAAAUACCAGUUGCCGCUUCCUAAUGAUUGACUCUCUGACGUUUGCACAGAUUGUUUGUCUCUCUGUCUCUCUUUGUUCUAAGACCAGAAGUUAUUUCUCUUAUUACUGACGUCAAAGCUGCAAGGAAGAAAACAGAGACAUUCCAGAAAAAGUCACGUCCGCAGUGGAUGAUGAGGCUGAAAUGGUGUCUGAUGACCUCAAUGAGCACAACUCCCAAACCUCUGAAGAGCCUCAGGGGGUCAAUAUCAGCGGCUUAUCACACCACAGCAAUUUUUUUUAUAUUAACCCUGCGUCUCCAACUCCACCAAAUACCAUCUAUAAACACCCAGUCCCCUUUAUUUCCCACAUAUAGUAAGAAAUGGCUGCCGUGUGGUUGUACCCUUAGUGCUUCGACACUGGAAGAAUGCCCUCUUAAUGCCCCUCAGAUAGUAUCAUGCCCCCUUAGUGUCUCCAGACACAGUAUGAUGCCCCCUAAGUACCACCCAUGCUGUAUGAUGCUCCUACAUGCCCCACACACAACAUAAUGGCCACUAAGUGAAACUUCCCAUAAGUGCCCUGCCACUCAGUGUAAUGCCCCCUUAAAUGCCCCCACAUACUAUCAUGCCCUCAUAAGUGCCCCGUACAGUAUGAGGCCUCAUUAAGUGCUCUCAUACAGAGGGUGUC
Bufo gargarizans (Asiatic toad) is the source of this 2427-nucleotide long non-coding RNA. RefSeq lists it as uncharacterized. The record is from RefSeq and is a predicted model, not a curated record. NCBI's taxonomy places the organism in Eukaryota, Metazoa, Chordata, Amphibia, Anura, Bufonidae. The transcript has 3 exons.